RNAcentral lists this ribosomal RNA (374 nucleotides) under uncultured organism. Its description in RNAcentral is "bacterial SSU rRNA". It matches the Rfam family "Bacterial small subunit ribosomal RNA", at positions 526 to 896 of the family's 1533-position model. The record is from RNAcentral.
CGGGGGGAGCAAGCGUUGUUCGGAUUUACUGGGCGUAAAGGGCGCGUAGGCGGCCACCGCAAGUCGACUGUGAAAUCUCUGGGCUUAACCCAGAAAGGUCAGCCGAUACUGCGGGGCUAGAGUGCAGAAGGGGCAACUGGAAUUCUCGGUGUAGCGGUGAAAUGCGUAGAUAUCGAGAGGAACACCUGCGGCGAAGGCGGGUUGCUGGGCUGACACUGACGCUGAAGCGCGAAAGCAAGGGGAGCGAACGGGAUUAGAUACCCCGGUAGUCCUAGCCUUAAACGAUGAAUGCUUGGUGUCUGGGGUUUUAUAGUCCCCGGGUGCCGUCGCUAACGCUUUAAGCAUUCCGCCUGGGGAGUACGGUCGCAAGACUG